Molecule: ribosomal RNA, 254 nt
Filed under: uncultured prokaryote
Description: partial 16S ribosomal RNA
Rfam family: Bacterial small subunit ribosomal RNA
Source: RNAcentral
UACGGAGGGUGCGAGCGUUAAUCGGAAUUACUGGGCGUAAAGGGUGCGUAGGUGGUUGAUUAAGUUAUCUGUGAAAUUCCUGGGCUUAACCUGGGCGGGUCAGAUAAUACUGAUUGACUUUGAGUAUGGGAGAGGGUAGUGGAAUUUCCGGUGUAGCGGUGAAAUGCGUAGAGAUCGGAAGGAACACCGGUGGCGAAGGCGGCUACCUGGCCUAAUACUGACACUGAGGCACGAAAGCGUGGGGAGCAAACAGG